GCCAGUGUGGGGUAGUGGUUUGAGUGUUUGACUGUGAUUCUGUUAAUCAGGGUUCAAAUCCCUGUUUGGCC
Molecule: non-coding RNA, 71 nt
Organism: Phrynosoma platyrhinos (Desert horned lizard)
Lineage: Eukaryota; Metazoa; Chordata; Lepidosauria; Squamata; Phrynosomatidae
Source: the annotation of a GenBank genome assembly